CUUUUCUCUCUCGCAACCACUGCUGCUCACGCUUGCGUAUAAAGAGCGAUUAGAUUUUAUUUAGAGGAGAGGGAGGUCCAUAGCUGGCCACACGGAGCCAUUCUUUCGAGUGUGAGCCUUACGUGCGAAGGAGUGUCGUCAGUCGCGGUUGCGCGAAAUGUUCUCUUCUGCGGCGUCCUCAUCUGACGUGAAUGUCUCUCCACCAGAUCGGUGCUGUAUAGCCCAAAGCGAAAACCCCCGACAGCGUGUUUCGUCGCAGUUAACCAACAACCAUGGAUCCUUUUUGGCCGUCAUGGGUCCCGAUGGAGUGGCAGACCUGUUGGUGUGGUUGCGAAGAGGAAUACACCUGAGUGGACGUGUGGCAUGCAACCACGUGGUCGA
Long non-coding RNA from Dermacentor albipictus, 381 nucleotides. RefSeq lists it as uncharacterized. The record is from RefSeq and is a predicted model, not a curated record. NCBI's taxonomy places the organism in Eukaryota, Metazoa, Arthropoda, Arachnida, Ixodida, Ixodidae.